Molecule: transfer RNA, 87 nt
Filed under: Caerostris darwini
Lineage: Eukaryota; Metazoa; Arthropoda; Arachnida; Araneae; Araneidae
Description: tRNA-Sec
Rfam family: Selenocysteine transfer RNA
Source: RNAcentral
GCCCAGAUGAGCGCCAGUGGUCUGGUGUGCGGGCUUCAAACCCGUAGCAGAUGAGAUUCCGAGUGGUCCGAUUGCACCUUCUGGGCG